GACUAAAUAAUAAUUGGUAAGUAACCAAAAUUCUAAUAAAAUAAAAAACCAAAAUCCUGACUAAGUAAGAACUCGCCAACAAGCAUGAAACUAGACGCUACCAUUCACCAUGCUUUUGAAUUAUCAGAUAAGAAACGUAUAAGAAAAUCUGGCUUUUGAGCUUCACUUUUAUAUGGACAUCAACCCUUUAUGCAAAAGUCGACCUCAGUGGUCCAUAUAGACAUGUAGACCCACCCCCUCAGACCAGAUUCAUAAGUCAUCACUGAAAGCAGCUCCAUUCUUAGGAUUUUGGGACCUUCGACAAACCCUUAAAAUGGACCCCUCCAUACAAUUAUAUGCAUACAAGAAAAAAGUUUAUUAGGUUGAUAAAAUCGGAAAUUUAAAAAAGAAAAAAAGAAAAAAAAAGGAUAUGGAUAUAUCUCUGAGAAAUCUCAUUUUAAUUAGUAUAGGGUAAUAAAAAC
This 461-nucleotide long non-coding RNA is filed under the name Prunus persica (peach). RNAcentral describes it as "long non-coding RNA (PPER_LNC001808)". The record is from RNAcentral. Lineage: Eukaryota; Viridiplantae; Streptophyta; Magnoliopsida; Rosales; Rosaceae.